RNAcentral lists this ribosomal RNA (448 nucleotides) under uncultured bacterium. RNAcentral's name for it is "partial 16S ribosomal RNA". It matches the Rfam family "Bacterial small subunit ribosomal RNA", at positions 329 to 793 of the family's 1533-position model. The record is from RNAcentral.
GACCAGACUCCUACGGGAGGCAGCAGUGGGGAAUAUUGCACAAUGGGGGAAACCCUGAUGCAGCAACGCCGCGUGAGUGAAGAAGUAUUUCGGUAUGUAAAGCUCUAUCAGCAGGGAAGAAGAUGACGGUACCUGAUUAAGAAGCCCCGGCUAACUACGUGCCAGCAGCCGCGGUAAUACGUAGGGGGCAAGCGUUAUCUGGAUUUACUGGGUGUAAAGGGGGCGCAGACGGCGAUGCAAGCCAGGAGUGAAAGCCCGGGGCCCAACCCCGGGACUGCUCUUGGAACUGCGUGGCUGGAGUGCAGGAGGGGCAGGCGGAAUUCCUGGUGUAGCGGUGAAAUGCGUAGAUAUCAGGAGGAACACCGGCGGCGAAGGCGGCCUGCUGGAUCGCGACUGACGUUGAGGCUCGAAAGCGUGGGGAGCGAACAGGAUUAGAUGCCCCGGUAUG